CCUACGGGUGGCUGCAGUGAGGAAUAUUGGUCAAUGGACGGAAGUCUGAACCAGCCAUGCCGCGUGCAGGAAGACGGCUCUAUGAGUUGUAAACUGCUUUUGUACAAGGGUAAACCUGAAUACGUGUAUUCCGCUGAAAGUACUGUACGAAUAAGGAUCGGCUAACUCCGUGCCAGCAGCCGCGGUAAUACGUAGGUGGCAAGCGUUGUCCGGAAUGAUUGGGCGAAAGGGGUGCGUAGGCGGCAAAAUAAGUCUGAAGUAAAAGGCGUUGGCGCAACCGACGUAAGCUUUGGAAACUGGUAAGCUAGCGUGCAGGAGAGGUUAGUGGAAUUCGAGGUGUAGCGGUAAAAUGCUUAGAUAUAUGGAGGAACCCCAGUGGCGAAGGCGGCUAACUGGCGUGUAACGGACGCUGAGGCACGAAAGCGUGGGGAGCAAAUAGGAUUAGAUACCCUGGUAGUC
This 459-nucleotide ribosomal RNA is filed under the name uncultured bacterium. RNAcentral's name for it is "partial 16S ribosomal RNA". It matches the Rfam family "Bacterial small subunit ribosomal RNA", at positions 338 to 795 of the family's 1533-position model. The record is from RNAcentral.